UUGUCUGUUAUUAUUUUUAAAAGGAGGAAGUUAUGGCAGAGGAACAUCGGUUUGCUAGAGAUUUUGUUUAAGCAAUCAAACUGAAAGUAGACGUGGUCAAAUGAUUGUUAUCAACAUUAAUAUAGGCAUUUUUAUGAAAUUUAAUUUCAACAUGAUGCAGCUACUUGAAAUCCAUUUGCAAAAGAAAAUGAAAAUCCUGUUCAUUAUCAAAGUUCAAAGAAUGUAUUUACUAUAAAAUGGCCUCUGUCAAACCACAGUAAUACCAAUG
This is a long non-coding RNA of Amblyraja radiata (thorny skate), 268 nucleotides long. RefSeq lists it as uncharacterized. The transcript has 2 exons. The record is from RefSeq and is a predicted model, not a curated record. Lineage: Eukaryota; Metazoa; Chordata; Chondrichthyes; Rajiformes; Rajidae.